GAUGAACGCUGGCGGCGUGCCUAAUACAUGCAAGUCGAGCGAACAGACGAGGAGCUUGCUCCUCUGACGUUAGCGGCGGACGGGUGAGUAACACGUGGAUAACCUACCUAUAAGACUGGGAUAACUUCGGGAAACCGGAGCUAAUACCGGAUAAUAUAUUGAACCGCAUUGUUCAAUAGUGAAAGACGGUUUUGCUGUCACUUAUAGAUGGAUCCGCGCCGCAUUAGCUAGUUGGUAAGGUAACGGCUUACCAAGGCAACGAUGCGUAGCCGACCUGAGAGGGUGAUCGGCCACACGGGAACUGAGACACGGUCCAGACUCCUACGGGAGGAAGCAGUAGGGAAUCUUCCGCAAUGGGCGAAAGCCUGACGGAGCAACGCCGCGUGAGUGAUGAAGGUCUUCGGAUCGUAAAACUCUGUUAUUAGGGAAGAACAAAUGUGUAAGUAACUAUGCACGUCUUGACGGUACCUAAUCAGAAAGCCACGGCUAACUACGUG
This 497-nucleotide ribosomal RNA is filed under the name uncultured bacterium. RNAcentral's name for it is "partial 16S ribosomal RNA". It matches the Rfam family "Bacterial small subunit ribosomal RNA", at positions 28 to 507 of the family's 1533-position model. The record is from RNAcentral.